RNAcentral lists this ribosomal RNA (419 nucleotides) under uncultured Prevotella sp. Its description in RNAcentral is "bacterial SSU rRNA". It matches the Rfam family "Bacterial small subunit ribosomal RNA", at positions 358 to 774 of the family's 1533-position model. The record is from RNAcentral. Lineage: Bacteria; Pseudomonadati; Bacteroidota; Bacteroidia; Bacteroidales; Prevotellaceae.
GGAAUAUUGGUCAAUGGACGAGAGUCUGAACCAGCCAAGUAGCGUGCAGGAUGACGGCCCUAUGGGUUGUAAACUGCUUUUAUACAGGGAUAACGCGGGGAACGUGUUCCCUUUUGUAGGUACUGUUUGAAUAAGGACCGGCUAAUUCCGUGCCAGCAGCCGCGGUAAUACGGAAGGUCCGGGCGUUAUCCGGAUUUAUUGGGUUUAAAGGGAGCGCAGGCUGAUUAUUAAGCGUGACGUGAAAUGUAGCCGCUCAACGGCUGAACUGCGUCGCGAACUGGUAGUCUUGAGUGAGUUCGAUGUUGGCGGAAUUCGUGGUGUAGCGGUGAAAUGCUUAGAUAUCACGAAGAACUCCGAUUGCGAAGGCAGCCAACAAGGCCUUUACUGACGCUAAGGCUCGAAGGUGCGGGUAUCGAACA